AGUACUAAGGACAUCUCAGUCACAGAUUUGGGUUUUUUUUUACCAAAAAUGGCGCAAAGACUAGCAAACAAGAAGCUCUUGUGCAAGGUACAAGUCGUAGGCUGUUUUGAUCAAACCAUGGCUCAGGUAGUCGAAGCCCAUCAAAUGUGAUACGGAAGUAUAAUAUAUAUACAUAUUUUUUUUUAAUAAGCAAUACUUCUUUCUUAUUAUAUUGUUAACUAUCCGAUGAAUUCAAGUUUUCUUAAUGGCAAAACUUUAUGUUUCCAGCCCCAAAAAAAUUUAUUCAUUGUAUUUACAAAAAGGUAUCGUUGACGAGUAUGAAUUUUUUUUUUUUUAAUUUUCGUCCCCACUCCAUACUUUUUCACCGCUCAUCCAUAUUUUAAAAUUUUCGGCAACCCACAAAUUUGAACUAUCUCCCUGCAAGACGGAGGUAACCAUUUCGCAAGUAAUAUCGUACGAUUUCGGCGUUUUACCACUACAUUCACUACUAUCUCACAGUUUCUGUGGAAAGGCUACUAAAUAUACACAUAAUUCAAAUACGGCAUUUGAAAAUGCUCUGCCAUUCAUUUUUUUAUUUAAAGACGCUUAGAGAUUGAUUCAAUGAUUCCGACACAGUACCAAAGAUCGAUAGCGAAAAUCCAAGAAAUAAGAUUAAUUUAAUGGAUUCAAGCCCAACGGAGUUCAAGCAGCCAAAUUAGUUGCCGUCUUCGUUUACAAUACAUAGCAAAAUACUCGAUAUGGCCGCCACAUCAGCACACCUUGACUGAUUCCUCAUUCUACACAGCAAUUCAUUGUUUUGGAAGAAUUACAGAUACAUGAAAUCCUUCAGCAAAUAGCGGACGUAAGCUCUGCCCAAAGCCUUAGAUUCGAUUAGUAUACUUCUUCUUUGCUGUAAGCGAUCUACCUGACACGAUUAACACCGAGUUAAUAACACCUUCGGUUUAGCCAGCUUCUACUCCACAUGAUCUUUCCAACGGAGUGGAGGUCUUCCGCUGUCUUUUAAUAAUUUAAUUACACGAAAACUUAGUCCAAAUUGUAGUUGUAGUGUUAAGUAACACAAAUGAAUGUUCCAUUAAUUUUCAUGUAAUUAUGUUAAAAGAGCUGUAACUUUUUAGAUUAA
Molecule: long non-coding RNA, 1120 nt
Organism: Ceratitis capitata (Mediterranean fruit fly)
Lineage: Eukaryota; Metazoa; Arthropoda; Insecta; Diptera; Tephritidae
Exons: 5
Source: RefSeq, a predicted model, not a curated record